This 459-nucleotide ribosomal RNA is filed under the name Siphonaria pectinata. Its description in RNAcentral is "partial 16S ribosomal RNA". It matches the Rfam family "Bacterial large subunit ribosomal RNA", at positions 1806 to 2609 of the family's 2925-position model. Lineage: Eukaryota; Metazoa; Mollusca; Gastropoda; Siphonariida; Siphonariidae. The record is from RNAcentral.
AUCAAAAACAUACCCUUAGGUUAUAUCUAAGGUCAAGCCUGCCCAAUGUUAUAAAUGAAUGGCCGCAGUACCCUGACUGUGCGAAGGUAGCGUAAUCAGUUGGCUUUUAAAUGGAGUCUUGUAUGAAAGGAUUAACGUGGUAAAGCUGUCUCUAUCUUAUUCUAUCAAACUUGCUAAGAAGGUGAAAAUUCCUUCAAAAAGAAAAAAGACGAGAAGACCCUUAGAGUUUUAAUUAGAUUUGCCAUUUUGGUGAUAAAAUUUUUGUUGGGGCGACAAGGGAACAAAUAACUUCCCUAAUUAGAAUUAACUGGACGGUUUUUUCAAGUAAGAAUAAACUACCUGAGGGAUAACAGCAUAAUUCUUUUUGAGUUUGUGACCUCGAUGUUGGACUAGGAACUUAAUAGACUAGCCGUCUAUAUUUGUGGUUCUGUUCGAACUAUUUUUCCUACAUGAUCUGAG